UAAUAAAAUGAGUUGGGAAGUGUUUGGUUUUUUAUUUAAAAACAAAAAAGAUCUAAGGAUCUCACGAGAGCUGUUAUCUUAAGCUUUUGCUCAGUUUAGGAAAGCCCCCUUUCUCCAACCAAUUGGUUUCAGAAACUACACACAGUGAUAUUGACAGUGAAAGCCUUUAUACAAAAAUUUUAAUUGUUAGUUGAAUAUCGUUGGUAUUCUACCAGUUACGUGGCCUUUUAUGGUUUUUAGUGUGCUCAUUUUGCGCUUGCACUUACAUUUCGUGUGUUUCCUGUUAUAAAUGUCAGGAAACUUUGGCCUCCCUAAAUAACAUCAGGCAUCAUGCCACCUAUUUGAUCGCAGAUAUUUUUUACAGAUUUGGAGUUUCUUGACCUUGAAAUUUUCCUUUAUUUUAGCCCCAAAUAGUAUCACCUGUUUUGAAAUAUUUCAACAAUACAUAUACCCCAAAAUGUUUGGAUUUUUCAGAUAUCUACAAUCUAGACCAUGAUCAAAGUAAAAAGAUAUUAAAAAGUCAAGAAUAUAGUUUGAAAAUUUCUUAGGGUGCUGCUGGGCAGAAAGCUUAGAUUUAAGCAAAUGAAUACUUAAAAUGGAUAUAAACAUUUUAGAGCUAGCAGCAAUUCAGAGCAUAAAUGCUUUAGGAUGAAGAAGCCUUUGAUAGUUGUAAUAAGCUUGCAUUGUAUUUGGUAUCUGUUGUAAAUCACAACUCGGACUAUUAUAUAGACAUGGAAUUAUGUUAGUCUACGAGUCACACAUUUCCUGUAUAUUUCUAAAUUCUCCACAUUAAAAAUAUUAAUCCAAAACUAGAAGCAAGAAUGGCAGCUAUUUUAUAUGACUUUUUAAGCAAGUUGUGGCUAUUAUUUUUCUUCACCUGAUUCAGAGGAAUGCAUAGGAUGUAUUCAUGUAUAACACACCUGUUAGUGCUUACUAUAGAGGAAUGGUAUUGACAAUUUAAUUUCAGUUGCCUACAUUUUCAAAACAAUGAAGACCUAUCACUGACCAUAAAAUAGAAAUCAACCAUUCAAAACAGUUGAACAUUUAUUGUAUCAUUUACUCUAUAGAGGCAAUCUCAUUAUUACAGUAAAUAUAGCCAGUUUAUGUGCAUAUGUAGACAGGGAUCUAUAAUGUACAUGGCAGCUUAUAACAAAUACACAAAUGUAAUGGAUAUUUUGGGUUAUUUUCAAAACAAGCUUAUAUAAAACAGAUUCUGUGGCUGUGUGCUAAGGAGUGGUUUCGAUUGGAAGACUUGAAAAAUUUUUAAUGAAAAUUUGCCUCCCUCCCCCUUUUUUUUUUUGGCAGAUGAAUUACUGAAGAAAAAGUGUGAAAGCAGAUUGAUUCUGUACCCACUUUUUAGAUUUCAGGUUCACAUGCAUCGUAAUAAAGUUUCCUCCGUGUGGUCUUAAUUCAGUGAAGGCUUUCUGGUUUGGCGUUCAUAUACAUAAUUGUGCAAAGGCUUUAUAGUGUAAUAUCUUUGUGAUAUGUAGAGGCAUAACAAAAAGCAAUACAGAAAUUGGUAUCAAGAGUGGGAUAUGAACCACCAUUACAAGACCUUUAUUUCAUUAUCAGUAUCUUCAUGGACAUAGGUCUCUGAAGUCAAGAGGUCAGCAAGAGAAGCCUGUGUCAGCAGAGGAUGAAGGGACCUCGAUGUGGAUGUGGAGUGGGUGCCUGCAUAGAAGAGGGUCAGAGCUGCCACGCUGCUCUAGACCGCCACGGAAGUGCUUUCCCUGAACGGCAGGGAACAAAGCUCAAGCCACUCGAGAACCCUCCCCAUGCCUCUCUGAGAGGCAAUAUGGAGUCUGCAUCCCAGCUACAGGAUGGGCCAGUGUCCAACGCUGGAGCAGCAUCGUGGCCGGGCUGGGAGACGAACUACGUUUGUAGGCCAGCCCCGUGCUACCUCUGGGGCCAGCGGGCGGCCAGAGCUGUUAGAGAGCCAGGAAGGGCAGAUGCGACCCUGGGGAUCGCUGGCAGCUGCCUCAAUUUGUGUCUAACUGUGUCCUUUAGUUUGGAAUAACGUGUGAGAUUUUAAGGCCCUGUCAAUGUCUGCAGUUGAAGCUCUUAGCCUAUAAAAUUUUCAUGUGUUUAAAAUUA
Long non-coding RNA from Hyaena hyaena (striped hyena), 2094 nucleotides. RefSeq lists it as uncharacterized. NCBI's taxonomy places the organism in Eukaryota, Metazoa, Chordata, Mammalia, Carnivora, Hyaenidae. The transcript is spliced from 4 exons. The record is from RefSeq and is a predicted model, not a curated record.